ACUGCUCAGUAACACGUAGCUAACCUACCCUCGGGACGGGGAUAAUCCCGGGAAACUGGGGCUAAUACCCGAUAGGUGUGGAUUCCUGGAAUGGUGCCAUGCCUAAACGUAAGCGCAUCCAUGUUUGCGUGCACGCCCGAGGAUGGGGCUGCGGCCGAUCAGGCAGUUGGUGAGGUAACGGCUCACCAAACCUUUGACCGGUACGGGCCAUGAGAGUGGUAGCCCGGAGAUGGGCACUGAGACAAGGGCCCAGGCCCUACGGGGCGCAGCAGGCGCGAAACCUCCACAAUUCACGCAAGUGAGAUGGGGUUACCUCGAGUGCCGCCUGAAGAAGGCGGCUUUUCCAUGGUGUAAUGAGCCGUGGGAAUAAGGGGGGGGCAAGACUGGUGUCAGCCGCCGCGGUAACACCAGCCCCCCGAGUGGUGGGGAUGAUUAUUUGGCCUAAAGCGUCCGUAGCCGGCUCGGUAAAUCUCUCGUUAAAUCCAGCGUCCUAAGCGUUGGGCUGCGAGGGGAACUGCCGAGCUAGAGGGUGGGAAAGGUCAGCGGUAUUCCUGGGGUAGGGGCGAAAUCCAUUGAUCCCAGGAGGACCACCAGUGGCGAAGGCUGCUGACUAGAACACGCCUGACGGUGAGGGACGAAAGCUGGGGUAGCGAAUCGGAUUAGAUACCCGAGUAGUCCCAGCCGUAAACGAUGCAGGCUAGGUGUUGGGUCGGCCACGCGCCGCCUCAGUGCCACAGGGAAGCCAUUAAGCCUGCCGCCUGGGGAGUACGGCCGCAAGGCUGAAACUUAAAGGAAUUGGCGGGGGAGCAC
Molecule: ribosomal RNA, 810 nt
Filed under: uncultured archaeon
Lineage: Archaea
Description: bacterial SSU rRNA
Rfam family: Archaeal small subunit ribosomal RNA
Source: RNAcentral